Molecule: ribosomal RNA, 436 nt
Filed under: uncultured bacterium
Lineage: Bacteria
Description: bacterial SSU rRNA
Rfam family: Bacterial small subunit ribosomal RNA
Source: RNAcentral
GAUGAACGCUAGCGGCAGGCUUAAUACAUGCAAGUCGUGGGGCAGCAGGUUUGUAGCAAUACAGAUGCUGGCGACCGGCAAACGGGUGCGGAACACGUACAGAACCUUCCUUUGAGCGGGGAAUAGCCCAGAGAAAUUUGGAUUAAUACCCCAUAGUAUAAUGAAGUGGCAUCACUUUAUUAUUAAAGAUUUAUCACUCGAAGAUGGCUGUGCGGCUGAUUAGGUAGUUGGCGGGGUAAAGGCCCACCAAGCCUGCGAUCAGUAACUGGUGUGAGAGCACGACCAGUCACACGGGCACUGAGACACGGGCCCGACUCCUACGGGAGGCAGCAGUAAGGAAUAUUGGUCAAUGGAGGCAACUCUGAACCAGCCAUGCCGCGUGGAGGAUGAAGGUCCUCUGGAUUGUAAACUUCUUUAUAUGGGACGAAAAAAGGAC